GUUAGGAAUAUUGGACAAUGGACGCAAGUCUGAUCCAGCCAUGCCGCGUGAGUGAUGAAGGCCUUCGGGUUGUAAAGCUCUUUAGCCGAUGAUUAUAAUGACUGUAGUCGGAAAAUAAGCCCCGGCUAACUUCGUGCCAGCAGCCGCGGUAAUACGAAGGGGGCGAGCGUUAUUCGGAAUCACUGGGCGUAAAGCGUGCGUAGGCGGUUUUGUAAGUUGGGAGUGAAAGCCCAGGGCUCAACCCUGGAAUUGCUCUCAAAACUACAAGACUUGAAUUCGGGAGAGGAUAGCGGAAUUGUCAGUGUAGCAGUGAAAUGCGUAGAUAUUGACAGGAACACCAGUGGCGUAAGCGGCUAUCUGGACCGAUAUUGACGCUGAGGCACGAAAGCGUGGGGAUCAAACAGGAUUAGAAACCCUUGUAGUCC
This 425-nucleotide ribosomal RNA is filed under the name uncultured bacterium. RNAcentral describes it as "partial 16S ribosomal RNA". It matches the Rfam family "Bacterial small subunit ribosomal RNA", at positions 354 to 796 of the family's 1533-position model. The record is from RNAcentral.